This 72-nucleotide transfer RNA is filed under the name Loxodonta africana (African savanna elephant). It matches the Rfam family "tRNA". From Rfam's summary of the family: Transfer RNA (tRNA) molecules are approximately 80 nucleotides in length. Their secondary structure includes four short double-helical elements and three loops (D, anti-codon, and T loops). Lineage: Eukaryota; Metazoa; Chordata; Mammalia; Proboscidea; Elephantidae. The record is from Rfam by way of RNAcentral.
GCCUCGGUGGUACAACGGUUAAACACUCGGCUACUAACCGAAAAGAUGGCGGUUCGAACCCACCCAGUGGCU